Long non-coding RNA from Xenia sp. Carnegie-2017, 640 nucleotides. RefSeq lists it as uncharacterized. Lineage: Eukaryota; Metazoa; Cnidaria; Anthozoa; Malacalcyonacea; Xeniidae. The record is from RefSeq and is a predicted model, not a curated record. The transcript is spliced from 4 exons.
AAGAAAAAUCAGGCGUCCCCUACUGUUUUUACCAAAGUGAAUCUUGCGAUGUUUCUAACCAGUUGAAAGAGUUGGUUGCGGUAAAGUGGGAAUAACAGAAAACUAUGUGAAAAAUAGGAUGUUGUUGGGAUGACCACAUAGAGGGUGUCCACAACUGUUAUAGAAGAGUACGUCUUCCAGAACUUGCUUAGGACAAAAGGAGUUUGGUGGUACGCGCGAGGAUGAAUAGUAUAGUCACAUGAAAUGUAGUUGUGUAUUCAAGGGUACUCCUUUGUCAUGGCAUUGUAAACAUUCGCGUUGAAAUAAAUGUGCAAGUUAAUGAAGUGUUUUCUUAUUUGGGCAGGACGUUCUGAACUAGAUGUGGGAAUCACCUUAACAGAAACAAAAUAAAAGAAUUAUUCUCUAGUUCAGAUGGCAAACACAACUGGUUGCAUAGAGAUUUCGUCAACCUACAGUUCCAAAACGAAAUCGUUGAAAACAUCUACAUAUAUUCGCUGUGAUGCUUGGAAUCAAUGCUCACCUUAUCCAAACGAUGGCAGUGAAUCAACCCAUCUCUUCCAACUUCGAAAAUCGAGAACCCGUCAACGUAACUAGAAAGUCGAUCAGAAACAACUUCGUUUGUCAAGGUUUAUAGGGCAAA